This 429-nucleotide ribosomal RNA is filed under the name Verrucomicrobiota bacterium. RNAcentral describes it as "Verrucomicrobia bacterium partial 16S ribosomal RNA". It matches the Rfam family "Bacterial small subunit ribosomal RNA", at positions 355 to 776 of the family's 1533-position model. The record is from RNAcentral. Lineage: Bacteria; Pseudomonadati; Verrucomicrobiota.
UAGGGAAUCUUCGGCAAUGGGGGGAACCCUGACCGAGCAACGCCGCGUGAGUGAAGAAGGUUUUCGGAUCGUAAAGCUCUGUUGUUAAGGAAGAACGAGUGUGAGAAUGGAAAGUUCAUGCUGUGACGGUACUUAACCAGAAAGGGACGGCUAACUACGUGCCAGCAGCCGCGGUAAUACGUAGGUCCCGAGCGGUGUCCGGAUUUAUUGGGCGUAAAGCGAGCGCAGGCGGUUAGAAAAGUCUGAAGUGAAAGGCAGUGGCUCAACCAUUGUAGGCUUUGGAAACUGUUUAACUUGAGUGCAGAAGGGGAGAGUGGAAUUCCAUGUGUAGCGGUGAAAUGCGUAGAUAUAUGGAGGAACACCGGUGGCGAAAGCGGCUCUCUGGUCUGUAACUGACGCUGAGGCUCGAAAGCGUGGGGAGCAAACAGG